Kogia breviceps (pygmy sperm whale) is the source of this 1579-nucleotide non-coding RNA. The record is from RefSeq and is a predicted model, not a curated record. NCBI's taxonomy places the organism in Eukaryota, Metazoa, Chordata, Mammalia, Artiodactyla, Physeteridae.
CGGACGUACUGAUUUGCUCCCCUACCCUCAGCACCCCCCCCCACCCAGCACCAGGUGGGUGUGAGAUGGGGUCCCAGCCGCACAGGAGGGAACCAUGCUAACGGGAUGUAAGACCCCCAAAACUCUUCUUCCAGCUGAACUCCCUGGGACCAAGUCAGUUGGGCUGAUCCCUGAACUCGCAUUUCUGGAUCUGAGGAACCUGUACCUCCCACAUCCUCACCUGGCUGAGCCGCAGUAGUUCUUCAGUGGCAAGCUUUAUGUCCUGACCCAGCUAAAGCUGCCAGUUGAAGAACUGUUGCCCUCUGCCCCUGGCUUCGAGGAGGAGGAGGAAGAAGAGGAGAAGGAGCUGCCUUCCCCUCAUCUGGAAGGUGACAGAACUGGGUCUGGGAAGGUCUGAACAGCGAGCGUGAUGAUACCUUUGGGAAAGGGAACCCUAUUCAGCUGGAGAAGCUUCACCCAGAUUGAGCCAGCAGGAGAGAAAAUUUCAGAUUAGAGACCUUGGCUGAAUUGGGGAAUAGAUGGCUCUGACUACACCCAAGCCUUGGGUAUGUGGUUCUGCCAUCCUCACCCAUCAUGGAGCAGAAAUGAGAAAGAGCAGCCUGGGGACACAGAGGCAGGCAGAAGACUAGUGAAGGACCAGGCCUGGAGAGCACAGGGCCCUGUCUGGACAUCUGCAGAGGGGGGCCCAUAGAGGCCAGGAGAGCCCCAGGAGGAGGGAGGACGGCCAGCCUCCAUCGAGGAAAAGCUUCCAGCCAUCUACUUCAUUCUCCGUUGCUCUCCAGCCGUUCUGCCUCCCUCAGAGAUGUGGGACCAUGUUAAAGCGUCCUUGGCUUCAUCAUGCUGCUUCCACCUCUCCCCACCAUGUAAUUUAGCUGUGAAAGGACAUAUGCAGAAAAUUCUUAAAAGAAAUUCAAAUGGUUUUGAAUGUGUGGGAAAAAAUGUGUGCUUCAUUAGUAAUUAAAGAGAGGCAAAUAUAGCUGAAAGCAUUUUUUCCGUAGCAAACUAUAACAGAAAAAAAUAAGACCCAGUUAUUGGCAAAGGAGUACUAAAAUAACACUCUCUACAUUGCAUAUAGGCGUACAAAUUGGUACAGCCUUACUGAUGUCAGUUUGGUAAUAUGUAUCAAACAUCCUAAAAGUUUCCAUGGCCUUUGACCUAGUAAUUCUACAUUUGGGAAUUUAUCCUAAGGAAAUAAUUAAAGAUUAGUUAAAACAAUGUUCAUCCCAGCAUUUCAGUAGAGAAGAAUGAGAAGCAACUAUCUGGUUGGGAAUUGAUUUCUUUUCUGCUAUAAUUGAAAUUUGCAAGAGGGGCUUGCUUAAGUAAAUUAUUGUAUAUCCAUCCGGAUGGUGGGGUGGAGGGCUGCACAGCCAUUAAAAGUCACGUAGAAGAACAUUUGACUGGAAAGAAAAAUGCUCCUUGAACAUUAAAAAGGUUAUAAAAAUGGUGUAUAUUAUGUGAUCUCAAUUUUGUUUUUAUACGUAAAACAGUUUGAAAAAGACUGAAGACAUACUCCAAAUUGUCAAUCAUAGUAGCUAUCUUUGAAUGAUGGAAUAAAGUAGUUGUAAUUUUCCUGUUUGGU